AAAUUGAAGAGUUUGAUCAUGGCUCAGAUUGAACGCUGGCGGCAGGCCUAACACAUGCAAGUCGAACGGUAACAGGAAGCAGCUUGCUGCUUCGCUGACGAGUGGCGGACGGGUGAGUAAUGUCUGGGAAACUGCCUGAUGGAGGGGGAUAACUACUGGAAACGGUGGCUAAUACCGCAUAACGUCGCAAGACCAAAGAGGGGGACCUUCGGGCCUCUUGCCAUCAGAUGUGCCCAGAUGGGAUUAGCUUGUUGGUGAGGUAACGGCUCACCAAGGCGACGAUCCCUAGCUGGUCUGAGAGGAUGACCAGCCACACUGGAACUGAGACACGGUCCAGACUCCUACGGGAGGCAGCAGUGGGGAAUAUUGCACAAUGGGCGCAAGCCUGAUGCAGCCAUGCCGCGUGUAUGAAGAAGGCCUUCGGGUUGUAAAGUACUUUCAGCGGGGAGGAAGGUGUUGCGGUUAAUAACCGCAGCAAUUGACGUUACCCGCAGAAGAAGCACCGGCUAACUCCGUGCCAGCAGCCGCGGUAAUACGGAGGGUGCAAGCGUUAAUCGGAAUUACUGGGCGUAAAGCGCACGCAGGCGGUCUGUCAAGUCGGAUGUGAAAUCCCCGGGCUCAACCUGGGAACUGCAUUCGAAACUGGCAGGCUUGAGUCUUGUAGAGGGGGGUAGAAUUCCAGGUGUAGCGGUGAAAUGCGUAGAGAUCUGGAGGAAUACCGGUGGCGAAGGCGGCCCCCUGGACAAAGACUGACGCUCAGGUGCGAAAGCGUGGGGAGCAAACAGGAUUAGAUACCCUGGUAGUCCACGCCGUAAACGAUGUCUACUUGGAGGUUGUGCCCUUGAGGCGUGGCUUCCGGAGCUAACGCGUUAAGUAGACCGCCUGGGGAGUACGGCCGCAAGGUUAAAACUCAAAUGAAUUGACGGGGGCCCGCACAAGCGGUGGAGCAUGUGGUUUAAUUCGAUGCAACGCGAAGAACCUUACCUGGUCUUGACAUCCACAGAACUUUCCAGAGAUGGAUUGGUGCCUUCGGGAACUGUGAGACAGGUGCUGCAUGGCUGUCGUCAGCUCGUGUUGUGAAAUGUUGGGUUAAGUCCCGCAACGAGCGCAACCCUUAUCCUUUGUUGCCAGCGGUUAGGCCGGGAACUCAAAGGAGACUGCCAGUGAUAAACUGGAGGAAGGUGGGGAUGACGUCAAGUCAUCAUGGCCCUUACGACCAGGGCUACACACGUGCUACAAUGGCGCAUACAAAGAGAAGCGACCUCGCGAGAGCAAGCGGACCUCAUAAAGUGCGUCGUAGUCCGGAUUGGAGUCUGCAACUCGACUCCAUGAAGUCGGAAUCGCUAGUAAUCGUGGAUCAGAAUGCCACGGUGAAUACGUUCCCGGGCCUUGUACACACCGCCCGUCACACCAUGGGAGUGGGUUGCAAAAGAAGUAGGUAGCUUAACCUUCGGGAGGGCGCUUACCACUUUGUGAUUCAUGACUGGGGUGAAGUCGUAACAAGGUAACCGUAGGGGAACCUGCGGUUGGAUCACCUCCUUACCU
Molecule: ribosomal RNA, 1545 nt
Filed under: Salmonella enterica subsp. enterica serovar Newport str. CVM 19449
Lineage: Bacteria; Pseudomonadati; Pseudomonadota; Gammaproteobacteria; Enterobacterales; Enterobacteriaceae
Description: bacterial SSU rRNA
Rfam family: Bacterial small subunit ribosomal RNA
Source: RNAcentral